RNAcentral lists this long non-coding RNA (1461 nucleotides) under Capsicum annuum. RNAcentral describes it as "long non-coding RNA (CANN_LNC006320)". The record is from RNAcentral. Lineage: Eukaryota; Viridiplantae; Streptophyta; Magnoliopsida; Solanales; Solanaceae.
AAAAAGUUGGUUAAACUGAAGGUACAAUCUCUUGAGCUUAGUUAAGUAACUUAGAGUAAUUGGAAUUGAACCACUAAACUGAUUACCAGAUAAGUCCAUACCAGUGAGGUUUUUCAAAUUCCCCAAUUCACUAGGAAUGGGACAAAAAAAUUGGUUAGACUGAAGGUACAAUCUCUUGAGCUCAGUUAAGUUACCUAGAGUAAUUGGAAUUGAACCACUAAGCUGAUUAUCAUAUAAUGUCAUAGUAGUGAGGUUUUUCAAAUUCCUUAACUCACUAGGAAUGGGACCAGCAAGAUGGUUAGAAUGAAGGUACAGACUCUUGAGUUUGGUUAAGUCUCCUACAACAGUUGGAAUUGAACCACUAAGAUGAUUAUCAGACAAUUCCAAAUCAGUGAGGUCUUUCAAAUUCCCCAACUCACUAGGAAUGGGACCAGAAAGUUGGUUAGAAUAAAGGUACAGACUUUUGAGCUCAGUUAAGUCACCUACUGCAAUUGGAAUUGAACCACUAAGCUGAUUAUCAGACAAUUCCAAAUCAGUGAGGUCUUUCAAAUUCCCCAACUCACUAGGAAUGGGACCAGAAAGUUGGUUAGAAUGAAGGUACAAACUCUUGAGUUUGGUUAAGUCUCCUACAACAGUUGGAAUUGAACCACUAAGAUGAUUAUGAGACAAUUCCAAAUCAGUGAGGUCUUUCAAAUUCCCCAACUCACUAGGAAUGGGACCAGAAAGUUGGUUAGAAUGAAGGUACAAACUCUUGAGUUUGGUUAAGUCUCCUACAACAGUUGGAAUUGAACCACUAAGAUGAUUAUCAGACAAUUCCAAAUCAGUGAGGUCUUUCAAAUUCCCCAACUCACUAGGAAUGGGACCAGAAAGUUGGUUAGAAUAAAGGUACAGACUUUUGAGCUCAGUUAAGUCACCUACUGCAAUUGGAAUUGAACCACUAAGCUGAUUAUCAGACAAUGACAAAUCAGUGAGUUUUUUCAAAUUCCCCAACUCACUAGGAAUGGGACCAGAAAGUUGGUUAGAAUAAAGGUACAGACUUUUGAGCUCAGUUAAGUCACCUACUGCAAUUGGAAUUGAACCACUAAGCUGAUUAUCAGACAAUGCCAAAUCAGUGAGUUUUUUCAAAUUCCCCAACUCACUAGGAAUGGGACCAGAAAGUUGGUUAGAAUAAAGGUACAGACUUUUGAGCUCAGUUAAGUCACCUACUGCAAUUGGAAUUGAACCAGUAAGCUGAUUAUGAGACAAUGCCAAAUCAUUGAGGUUUUUCAAAUUCCUUAACUCACUAGGAAUGGGACCAGCAAGUUGGUUAGAAUGAAGGUACAGACUCUUGAGUUUGGUUAAGUCUCCUACAACUGUUGGAAUUGAACCACUAAGAUGAUUAUGAGACAAUUCCAAAUCAGUGAGGUCUUUCAAAUUCCCCAACUCACUAGGAAUGGGACCAGAAAAUUGGUUAGAAUAAAG